Molecule: ribosomal RNA, 484 nt
Filed under: uncultured bacterium
Lineage: Bacteria
Description: partial 16S ribosomal RNA
Rfam family: Bacterial small subunit ribosomal RNA
Source: RNAcentral
GACGAACGCUGGCGGCGUGCUUAACACAUGCAAGUCGAACGAUGAUGCUGGAGCUUGCUCCAGUUGAUUAGUGGCGAACGGGUGAGUAACACGUGAGCAAUCUGCCCUUGACUCUGGGAUAACUGCGGGAAACUGUGGCUAAUACCGGAUACUUUCACCGGAAGGCAUCUUUUGGUGAUGAAAGAAUUUCGGUCAGGGAUGAGCUCGCGGCCUAUCAGCUUGUUGGUGAGGUAACGGCUCACCAAGGCGACGACGGGUAACCGGCCUGAGAGGGUGACCGGUCACACCGGGACUGAGACACGGCCCAGACUCCUACGGGAGGCAGCAGUGGGGAAUAUUGCACAAUGGGCGCAAGCCUGAUGCAGCAACGCCGCGUGAGGGAUGAAGGCCUUCGGGUUGUAAACCUCUUUUAGCAGGGAAGAAGCGAAAGUGACGGUACCUGCAGAAAAAGCACCGGCUAACUACGUGCCAGCCGCCGCCGUAA